This 240-nucleotide unclassified non-coding RNA is filed under the name soil metagenome. RNAcentral describes it as "partial contains 5.8S ribosomal RNA, internal transcribed spacer 2, and large subunit ribosomal RNA". The record is from RNAcentral.
AACGCACGAGACCUGCGGACCUGCGGAGGGAUCAUCAUAGGAAAUAUGAAUUUACUCACCGAGUUGUGGGGGGCGCUGGCGAGGCCUUGGGUGGCAGCAGGAUAUCAUACUCUGCAGUUCAUUCGCUUCACGCACUUUUGUUCCCGCGUGGGGAGGGGGGGCGGGGCCUUGCUGCCUGCGCUCUUUGCAGCUUUUACCCAAACGAUCACAACAAUUAGAGGGGAGAGUUAUUUGACUUGC